RNAcentral lists this ribosomal RNA (492 nucleotides) under uncultured bacterium. Its description in RNAcentral is "partial 16S ribosomal RNA". It matches the Rfam family "Bacterial small subunit ribosomal RNA", at positions 29 to 507 of the family's 1533-position model. The record is from RNAcentral.
AGUGAACGCUGGCGGUAGGCCUAACACAUGCAAGUCGAACGGCAGCACAGUAAGAGCUUGCUCUUACGGGUGGCGAGUGGCGGACGGGUGAGGAAUACAUCGGAAUCUACUUUUUCGGGGGGGAUAACGUAGGGAAACUUACGCUAAUACCGCAUACGACCUACGGGUGAAAUCAGGGGAUCUUCGGACCUUGCGCGAUUGAAUUAGCCGAUGUCGGAUUAGCUAGUUGGCGGGGUAACGGCCCACCAAGGCGACGAUCCGUAGCUGGUCUGAGAGGAUGAUCGGCCACACUGGAACUGAGACACGGUCCAGACUCCUACGGGAGGCAGCAGUGGGGAAUCUUGGACAAUGGGCGCAAGCCUGAUCCAGCCAUACCGCGUGGGUGAAGAAGGCCUUCGGGUUGUAAAGCCCUUUUGUUGGGAAAGAAAAGCAGCAGGUUAAUACCCCGCUGUUCUGACGGUACCCAAAGAAUAAGCACCGGCUAACUUCGUG